RNAcentral lists this transfer RNA (66 nucleotides) under Dendroleon pantherinus. RNAcentral's name for it is "tRNA-Glu". The record is from RNAcentral. Lineage: Eukaryota; Metazoa; Arthropoda; Insecta; Neuroptera; Myrmeleontidae. RNAcentral also lists the same sequence under 1 other name.
AUUUAUAUAGUUUAGUAAAAACAUUACAUUUUCACUGUAAAAAUAAAAUAAUAAUUUUUAUAAAUA